AACGAAGCACUUCAUAAAGUUUACUUUAAGAAGUGACUUAGUGGCGGACGGGUGAGUAACGCGUGGGUAACCUGCCUUACACAGGGGGAUAACAGUUAGAAAUAGCUGCUAAUACCGCAUAAGCGCACGGUUCCGCAUGGAACAGUGUGAAAAACUCCGGUGGUGUGAGAUGGACCCGCGUCUGAUUAGCUGGUUGGCGGGGUAACGGCCCACCAAGGCGACGAUCAGUAGCCGACCUGAGAGGGUGACCGGCCACAUUGGGACUGAGAUACGGCCCAGACUCC
RNAcentral lists this ribosomal RNA (284 nucleotides) under uncultured Lachnospiraceae bacterium. RNAcentral describes it as "partial 16S ribosomal RNA". It matches the Rfam family "Bacterial small subunit ribosomal RNA", at positions 65 to 339 of the family's 1533-position model. Lineage: Bacteria; Bacillati; Bacillota; Clostridia; Lachnospirales; Lachnospiraceae. The record is from RNAcentral.